This is a long non-coding RNA of Bubalus bubalis (water buffalo), 876 nucleotides long. RefSeq lists it as uncharacterized. Lineage: Eukaryota; Metazoa; Chordata; Mammalia; Artiodactyla; Bovidae. The transcript is spliced from 7 exons. The record is from RefSeq and is a predicted model, not a curated record.
AUCCAAGAGGCUGCCACCUCGGUGAGCUAGUGCAAGCCAUCCACAAGGAGGAGAGGAGGACUAACCUUUGAUCAGACCUUUGAAAACAAGAUUCACACAAGUGCCUCCAUAGAUCUCAGCUUGGCAACCACAGGGCAUUUGGACUCAGAACAUUCACUGCCUCAGGGGACAGAUGACCCACCAGAAGUUAGAAGUUGGUUCUUGUCUUCUGAGUGUCAAACACUGAUGCCUGUUGCCCAUCGAAACUGAUGAGCAGACUAAGGUCCAGAGUGAAGUGACUUGCCCACCCUCAGAGACCUCCUGGAAUAAUCAUUGCUAACAUAACAGAGAACCUAACCCUGUGCCAGACGCUGUUCCCUCAAUAUCAAUGAACACAUUUCCUUCUCAUGACAACUCCAAGAGCCAGGGAGGGGGCAGUGAUUACCCCCAGUUCACAGAUGGGGAAGCCCGAGGCCCAGACAGCCAAUCCCUUUUGAGCUGGAGGAACCCUCAGGCCUGAAGACCAGCUCUCAAAGACCAAGAGAGGGUAGGGAGUCCAGGGAUAAGUACCUGGACCCAGCAAACUGGCCAGCGGUUGCAGACUGGAGGCACUUGGACAAAGUCUGUCCCACAGGCUUCAAGCUUGCUGGCUGGAGAUCAUUUACAGAAAGGUCUUUGGGAAUUAACACAUCCCUGUGGCCAGGGAAUUCAGUUUGCAAUUGAGAAUGAAGAGAUGCUGUGCUUAACACAAUGGAAAAUGUGCUAAUGGUGGACUUGCUGGCAUUGGACAGUGGCUAGGUCACCAAUAAAGAGUGAACCUGCAAAAUCCAUCCUCAACCCCAGGAUCCUCUUUCUCUCUCUCUCUCUCUUUUCCUGUGACCUUACCCUGUGGCCCUG